UACGGGGGGGGCGAGCGUUGUCCGAAGUUACUGGGCGUAAAGAGCGUGUAGGCGGCUUGUUAAGUCUUGCGUGAAAUCUCGGGGCUCAACCCCGAGCGGUCGUGAGAAACUGGCAGGCUAGAGUGCGGGAGAGGAGAGUGGAAUUCCUGGUGUAGCGGUGAAAUGCGCAGAUAUCAGGAAGAACACCCGUGGCUAAGGCGGCUCUCUAGUACGGUACUGACGCUGAGACGCGAAAGCGUGGGGAGCGAACAGG
Molecule: ribosomal RNA, 253 nt
Filed under: uncultured bacterium
Lineage: Bacteria
Description: partial 16S ribosomal RNA
Rfam family: Bacterial small subunit ribosomal RNA
Source: RNAcentral